GGCAUAUGGAGGUUCCCAGGCUAGGGAUCUAAUCGGAGCUGUUGCUGCCGGCCUACACCAGAGCCACAGCCACGCCAGAUCUGAGCUGUGUCUGCAACCUAUACCACAGCUCACGGCAAUGCCGGAUCCUUAACUCACUGAGCGAGGCCAGGGAUCAAACCCGCAACCUCAUGGUUCCUAGUCAGAUUCUUUUCUGCUGCGCCACGACGGUAACUCCAGAGGAAACUUUAAAAAGGUACCACCCUCCGGGCUUUGUACUCCAGCCUAGUGGAACUGAAGUCUUUGGGGGAGGAGGCUGGGAUCACUUUUUUAAAGUAUCCCCUGGGCUAAGAGGGAGGGCCCAUGGCUGACCUAAAGAGCAGGAACCAGAGAAGACAGCUAUUUCAUGGGCCCCACAUCAGCGCAAGGAGAUCAGAGAAGAAAUGUGAACCCAACCUGGCCUUUUCAAUUUGUCCAUUCAGCUUACUGUGCUGGGCGGGUGCAUGAACAGGUAACUCUCAUCCUUCUUAUCGUGCAUCCCACUUCUUCACUUGGUGGCUGACUCGCUGGCUCAGCUUCCAAAGUGCAUCAUGAAGUUGAGUUAUCACAUGAGCCUUUCCUGUGCCUAAGGGUCCCUCGUGUCUGUGUUAUUAUGACUGAUUGGUGGGGGGGCACACCUGCAGCGUAUGGAAGUUCCUGGGCUGGGGGUCAAAUUACAGCUGCAGCUGCCCAUCUACACCACAGCCACAUCAACGCCAGAUAUGAGCUGUGUCUGCAACUUAUACCGCAGCUCAUGGCAAUGCUGGAUCCUUAGCCCACUGAAUGGGGCCAGGGAUCCAUCCUUUGUCCUCAUGGAUACCAGCUGGGCGCAUUACUGCUGAGCCAUGACGGGAAUUCCACCACCGAUAUUCUAAAACUACCCCACAACUUCCCCCUUGCUGAGGAGGUGGCAGGAUGGGGUGAUGCAGCCAGCCAGAUCAGUAAGGAAGGGCUUGACCAGCCCACAGCCCAGGAUGGAGCAGCACACUGGCCCCUCGGCCACUCAGGUCAAGCCUGGAAAUAGGAGCAUGACUUACUCACUUUGAUUUUUGAGCAGUUGAACAGAGGGCUUUCUUAAAUUCCUCGGAUCUCCCUCUGGAGAUGACCCCAAGCUUUACUGAGCUGUGAAUCACUGCUCAACACCUUUUUCUUUCUCUGCCUCCUUGGCAGUCUUGGAAGGACCUGAUUCAUUUCUUAGUUUUGACCCAGUGGACCAUAAAAAUGGGAAAAUCAAGGAUUUCUUAAAGCUGAGUUAAUCAUUGGCUACUUUGUGACACAAACUUUGACGUGAUGGAUUAACUAGUUGGGGAGAAUGGGUGGUUUUUAAAGCAUUUAAGCUGUAGCAUCUGCACUGAAUGAACUUGGGUUUAAUCAUGACCUCUGAGAGAAAGAAGGGCCCUGGACAUCAUUUGAUCUUAGCAUAUAGAAGAGGACACCUCAAGGGCUGGCAGAGGGAAGCCAUCAGCCUGAGUGUCAGGCUUGGUUGACCUGGGAACCAGAGGCUCGUUCCCAGAGUCCAGAAUCCUACCGUCUCUAUUACAGGCUUCUGGAAGUCACUGAGGAUCUGUGAACCACUUGUUUCUGCAUCUUCCAAUGAGAGGAGAGAUUCUCUAGCUUUCGUCCUGUUCUCAAAGUGGUCUUUGAUCCAAAAAUAGAUCAAUAAACCAGCGGUCUAGCUCUUUGCAAUAGAAGAAAUUUACUUUAAAAUUUCAUUCAUAGCGGUUGGUAGACCUAUUUGUGGCAUAUUAAAGAGAUAAUAAUUACAUUAUAUGCCAAUUCUACAAGUCAUAAAACAAAACUUAUUUCUAUUUGGGGCCAGGAGUAGGCUAUCUCAUCCCAAAGCACUAACACACAUAAGAAAUCAAAGUAUAGAAUUCAAUGAAAGCUUCAAGAGGAUUUUGAAUAAUCCAUCACUUCAGAUUUAUGCCUCUAUUUUUAUUUUUUGAAGGGAUACCAUUCUUCAUUUGUUCAUAAGAGGGCAUAAAAAAUAUGUAAAGAUAUUUAAAGGCAAAGAGACACUGGGGCAUAGCUUCAUCAUUUUCUCUUCCACUGUGCUGCCUGUUUCUUGUGAUAAAAUUCUGCUGAUGCCACAGUUAGAUAGAUGUGCUUCUGUGAGGCGGGUUGUAAUGAGACCUUUAGGGUGACUGCAGGCUUCAUCCUGUCACUCUAGUAAUGUGAUGGCACCACUUAGUCAGGUGGUUGGAUCAGAUUGGUCACAGUGCAUGGUCCUGGGGCAGCAGCAGUGUCUCCCGGGAAUUUGCUAAGAACGUGAAACUUCAGGUCUACCCCAGAGUUCAUGAACUCCAGAAUCUUCAUUCUUACAAGACCCUCAGGUGAACUGGGGCACAAUCAGAUCUGAGAAUCAUUAAAAAGUCUAUGAAUAAAAACUGCUGGAGAGGGUUUGGAGGAAAGGGAACCCUCCCACAUUGUUAGUGGGAAUGUAAUUUGGUGCCGCCACUGUGGAAAACAAUAUGGAGUUUCCUAAAAAGACAAAGAAUUACCAUAUGAUCCAGCAAUUCCACUCCUAGGAAUAUAUCCGGACAAAACUAUAAUUGAAAAUAUAAUUACACCCCUGCGUUCAUAGUAGCACUAUUCACAAAAGCCAAGAUGUGGAAGCCACUUUAAAUGUCCUUCAACAAAAGAAUGGAUAAAGAAGAUGUGGUACAUAUAUACAAUGGAAUAUUACUUAGCCCUAAAAAAGAAUAAAAUAAUGCUUUUUGUGGAAACAUGGGUAGAACUAGAGAUUGUCAUUCUAAGUGAAGUAAGUCAGAGCGAGAAGGACAGCAGUUCCCAUCGUGGCUUAGUAGAAACGAAUCUGACUAGUAUCCAUGAGCAUGCAGGUUCAAUCCCUGGCCUCGCUCAGUGGUUAAGGAUCUGGUGUUUCCAUGAGCUGUGAUGCAGCUCAGAUAUGUCAUUGCUGUGUCUGUGGCAUAGGCUGGUGGCUUCAGCUUUGAUUCAGCCCCUAGCCUGGGAACCUCCAUAUGC
RNAcentral lists this long non-coding RNA (3003 nucleotides) under Sus scrofa (pig). Its description in RNAcentral is "lncRNA (ENSSSCG00045019122.1)". Lineage: Eukaryota; Metazoa; Chordata; Mammalia; Artiodactyla; Suidae. The record is from RNAcentral.